Molecule: ribosomal RNA, 420 nt
Filed under: Triticum aestivum (bread wheat)
Lineage: Eukaryota; Viridiplantae; Streptophyta; Magnoliopsida; Poales; Poaceae
Description: partial small subunit ribosomal RNA
Source: RNAcentral
AUGAAGGAGAGCAGCACGGCAGCUGACCACACCAUACGUGUAGAGGAGAUGGAGCCUCAGGUUUUCAGGGCGAUGCUUGAGUUCAUUUACAAUGACUCUGAGCCGAAGGACAAGGACAACGAUGACGACGCGAUGUGGCGGUGGCAGCACCUGCUCGCCGCGGCGGAUAGGUAUGAUAUGCAGCGGCUGAAGCUCAUCUGUGAAGAUAAGCUGUGUGGGUUCAUUGAGGUGAAUAGCACCACUGCCAUCCUGUCACUAGCUGAGCAACACUGCUGUGACGGGCUGAAGAAGGGGUGCUACUUUUUCCUGGGCACGCUGGGAAACCUGAGGGCUGUCGCGGCCACGGAUGGCUUCGAUGAUCUCAUCAGGAACCACCCCUCCGUUAUGAAGGAGCUGAUUACCAUGCUUGCGCCUUUUUGA